ACCCACCCUCCUGCAAGAGGUCGACCCCCCAUCCUCUCCCAGCUGCUGACAGGUACCUGGGUAUCCUCAGCUCAGGCUGUUCGCCCCACACUAUCCCCACAGCCAGGCCUCCCAGGGUACACGUCCCGACCCCCAGGGGUGUCCCCAGCACUGAUAAUAGGCAGAGAUGUCCAGAGUUGCCUGAGCCACUUCUUGGUGUUGCAGACCUCAGGCUGGGGCGGCUCCUCCUCCGUGUGGCCCCGGAUCAGCACACCAGGCUGCUGCCUUUUGCUUUUUACAGUCUUCUCUCCUACUUCCAUGAAGACGCGGCCAUCAGGGAAGAGGCCUUCCUGCAUGUUGCUGUCGACAUGUACUUGAAGCUGGUCCAGCUCUUCGUGGCUGGGGAUACAAGCACAGUUUCACCUCCAGCUGGCAGGAGCCUGGAGCUCCAGGGUCAGGGCAACCCUGUGGAACUGAUAACAAAAGCUCGUCUUUUUCUGCUGCAGUUAAUACCUCGGUGCCCGAAAAAGAGCUUCUCACACGUGGCAGAGCUGCUGGCUGAUCGUGGGGACUGCGACCCAGAGGUGAGCGCCGCCCUCCAGAGCAGACAGCAGGCUGCCCCUGACGCUGACCUGUCCCAGGAGCCUUAUCUCUUCUGACGGGACCUGCCACUGCACACCAGCCCAGCUCCCGUGUAAAUAAUUUAUUACAAGCAUAACAUGGAGCUCUUAUUGCACUAAAAAGUGGAUUACAAAUCUCCUCGAC
Molecule: small RNA, 744 nt
Filed under: Pan troglodytes (chimpanzee)
Lineage: Eukaryota; Metazoa; Chordata; Mammalia; Primates; Hominidae
Description: retained intron
Source: RNAcentral